Molecule: transfer RNA, 74 nt
Filed under: Saccoglossus kowalevskii
Lineage: Eukaryota; Metazoa; Hemichordata; Enteropneusta; Harrimaniidae
Description: tRNA-Asn
Rfam family: tRNA
About the family: Transfer RNA (tRNA) molecules are approximately 80 nucleotides in length. Their secondary structure includes four short double-helical elements and three loops (D, anti-codon, and T loops).
Source: RNAcentral
GUCUCUGUGGCGCAAUCGGUUAGCGCGUUCGGCUGUUAACCGUAAGGUUUGUGGUUCAAGCCCACCCAAGGACG